Carassius gibelio (silver crucian carp) is the source of this 1048-nucleotide long non-coding RNA. RefSeq lists it as uncharacterized. NCBI's taxonomy places the organism in Eukaryota, Metazoa, Chordata, Actinopteri, Cypriniformes, Cyprinidae. The record is from RefSeq and is a predicted model, not a curated record. The transcript has 6 exons.
UCUCACUCCAAAGGCGUCAAAAAUCGAAGCAUGGUCAAGCGCCCCUAGCGUCACUUUUAUGACGCCAAAUGUGCCUCUCGGCGUCGAAUAUCGAAGCACUACGACCUUCAUUGCUUUCAAUGGGAAACUUUUGGCGUCAGAAUUCGACACGAGGACAUGAGAUGUUUAUCGCUAUGAAAUCACGUUCAAGAAGUCUCAUUCAGCACACAUCGCGAUACUUGCUAUCAGUUCCACAGUUUGGCUGAAAAGACAUAAAGGCAGUCAGCCCAGUGGUGUUUCUGGAGAGGGAUUCCUUCAGAAAUGGAGAAGACAGAAAGCUGCGGAGGCAGAUAUAUGCAGCAGUCUAAAAUAUCAAGCUCAACAACUCACUCAAGAGCCAACCCUCACAAACCUUCCUAAAAACUAAAAGAGCUAUUACUGAGUCUCAGCGAAUCUUGCCAUGAUCAGCUCUUCCCAGAAGAGAAGGAAGACCAAGGAAAUGAUUUGCUUAGGAUGAGGAAUGAAGAUGGCCAUCUUGUGCUCAAACAAACAGAAGUCCUCUGAUGAUCUCAUCAGCCAAAUGAGGGGUUUUGACCAAGUGAUGCUCUUGAAAGGAGUGAAAGAAGAGGAUGUGCUAAAUUCUCUUCAGAGAAAAAGCUUCUCAAAAGGUCUCAAAACAGCUUGAAGAAUGGUCUGGGAUGUUAGGACUGAGAGAUCCUCUGGCUGAGGACAAGCUACACCACAUCAGUGCUGGAUAUCAACCACAAACUGUUUCCAGACACGAGAGAAGAAGAACACGAUGGGGAGAUGAAACCAGUUUAGAUGUGAUGAUGGGAAUCAUUAUUUUCUGGAACAGUAUCUCAUGUCUUAUAUGUAUCACAUGAUCUGUAUCACAGUUGACUGGAUGGGACUGUGACUUUUAAGGACAUUUCAUCACUCAUCUGUGUGAACUGAUUUAUAUAUGAGGUUAAUGUAUUUUUGAUGAUAAUUAUUUUCAUUGAAUCGUAUUCGUCUUGAUGCUACUUUAUCAACUUUAUAGUCUAUGCUUCAAUAAAAUGAAAAUGGUGAA